UCCCUGCUUUCCAUCAGCGGGGGUUACUGAAGAGGCACACCAUCAUUGCCGGAAGUGCGGUUGGGACUCUCCCUCCAAUCCAUGGCAGACAAAGCCGAACUUACACCGCAUCGCGGCGUUGGUUCACUAUCCGCGCAUCGAGCGCUUGCUAUGGUU
Molecule: regulatory RNA element, 156 nt
Organism: Rhizobium etli CFN 42
Lineage: Bacteria; Pseudomonadati; Pseudomonadota; Alphaproteobacteria; Hyphomicrobiales; Rhizobiaceae
Rfam family: speF leader
About the family: This family is a putative regulatory RNA structure that is found upstream of the speF gene encoding ornithine decarboxylase in Agrobacterium tumefaciens and other alpha-proteobacteria.
Source: Rfam